Molecule: unclassified non-coding RNA, 625 nt
Filed under: Rhizopus arrhizus
Lineage: Eukaryota; Fungi; Mucoromycota; Mucoromycetes; Mucorales; Rhizopodaceae
Description: sequence contains 18S rRNA gene, ITS1, 5.8S rRNA gene, ITS2, 28S rRNA gene
Rfam family: 5.8S ribosomal RNA (bases 235-388)
Source: RNAcentral
GUAACAAGGUUUCCGUAGGUGAACCUGCGGAAGGAUCAUUAAUUAUGUUAAAGCGCCUUACCUUAGGGUUUCCUCUGGGGUAAGUGAUUGCUUCUACACUGUGAAAAUUUGGCUGAGAGACUCAGACUGGUCAUGGGUAGACCUAUCUGGGGUUUGAUCGAUGCCACUCCUGGUUUCAGGAGCACCCUUCAUAAUAAACCUAGAAAUUCAGUAUUAUAAAGUUUAAUAAAAAACAACUUUUAACAAUGGAUCUCUUGGUUCUCGCAUCGAUGAAGAACGUAGCAAAGUGCGAUAACUAGUGUGAAUUGCAUAUUCAGUGAAUCAUCGAGUCUUUGAACGCAGCUUGCACUCUAUGGUUUUUCUAUAGAGUACGCCUGCUUCAGUAUCAUCACAAACCCACACAUAACAUUUGUUUAUGUGGUGAUGGGUCGCAUCGCUGUUUUAUUACAGUGAGCACCUAAAAUGUGUGUGAUUUUCUGUCUGGCUUGCUAGGCAGGAAUAUUACGCUGGUCUCAGGAUCUUUUUUUUUGGUUCGCCCAGGAAGUAAAGUACAAGAGUAUAAUCCAGUAACUUUCAAACUAUGAUCUGAAGUCAGGUGGGAUUACCCGCUGAACCUAAGCAUAUC